This is a long non-coding RNA of Anguilla rostrata (American eel), 201 nucleotides long. RefSeq lists it as uncharacterized. The transcript has 2 exons. NCBI's taxonomy places the organism in Eukaryota, Metazoa, Chordata, Actinopteri, Anguilliformes, Anguillidae. The record is from RefSeq and is a predicted model, not a curated record.
AGAUGGACAGGGUCUAAUAUGUGUUGGGGAAGAAGGAAUGGAAUUAAGAUCUUUGCAAGAACUAAAUGGUAAGGAGCAGGAGGACAAAGACAAGAAGAAGAAGAAAAAGAAGAAGGGAAAGAAGGAUUCUAGCUCUUCCUCUUCUGACAGCUCUCUUCCUCUGACAGUGACAAAGACAAAAAGAAAAAGAAGUUGAAGAAG